CGACCGGCGCACGGGUGAGUAACACGUAUGCAACCUGGCCGCCACAGGGGGAUAACCCGCGGAAACGCGGCCUAAUACCCCGUGACGCCACCGGAGGGCAUCCUCCGGUGGCCAAAGGAGCGAUCCGGUGGCGGAUGGGCAUGCGGCGCAUUAGCUAGACGGCGGGGUGACGGCCCACCGUGGCGACGAUGCGUAGGGGUUCUGAGAGGAAGGUCCCCCACACUGGUACUGAGACACGGACCAGACUCCUACGGAAGGCAGCAG
RNAcentral lists this ribosomal RNA (264 nucleotides) under uncultured bacterium. Its description in RNAcentral is "partial 16S ribosomal RNA". It matches the Rfam family "Bacterial small subunit ribosomal RNA", at positions 92 to 354 of the family's 1533-position model. The record is from RNAcentral.